AGUGAACGCUGGCGGCAGGCCUAACACAUGCAAGUCGAGCGGCAGCGGGUCCUUCGGGAUGCCGGCGAGCGGCGGACGGGUGAGGAAUACAUCGGAAUCUGCCCUGUCGUGGGGGAUAACCUAGGGAAACUUAGGCUAAUACCGCAUACGACCUACGGGUGAAAGCGGGGGAUCGCAAGACCUCGCGCGACAGGAUGAGCCGAUGUCCGAUUAGCUAGUUGGCGGGGUAAAGGCCCACCAAGGCGACGAUCGGUAGCUGGUCUGAGAGGAUGAUCAGCCACACUGGGACUGAGACACGGCCCAGUCUCCUACGGGAGGCAGCAGUGGGGAAUAUUGGACAAUGGGCGCAAGCCUGAUCCAGCCAUGCCGCGUGGGUGAAGAAGGCCUUCGGGUUGUAAAGCCCUUUUGUCCGGGAAGAAAUCGUCUGGGCUAAUACCCCGGGCGGAUGACGGUACCGGAAGAAUAAGCACCGGCUAACUUCGUG
RNAcentral lists this ribosomal RNA (484 nucleotides) under uncultured bacterium. Its description in RNAcentral is "partial 16S ribosomal RNA". It matches the Rfam family "Bacterial small subunit ribosomal RNA", at positions 30 to 507 of the family's 1533-position model. The record is from RNAcentral.